GACGAACCGUGCGAACGUUUAUUCGGAAUCACUGGGCUUAAAGCGCGUGUAGGCGGGCCGCCGCGUCGGCUGCUGAAAUCCCCCGGCUCAACCGGGGAACGGGCACCGAUACGGGCGGCCUCGAGGGGGGUAGGGGGACCUGGAACUUCCGGUGGAGCGGUGAAAUGCGUAGAGAUUGGAAAGAACACCGAUGGCGAAGGCACUUUACUGGGCUAUUACUAACACUCAGAGACGAAAGCUAGGGUAGCAAAUGGG
This 255-nucleotide ribosomal RNA is filed under the name uncultured bacterium. RNAcentral's name for it is "partial 16S ribosomal RNA". It matches the Rfam family "Bacterial small subunit ribosomal RNA", at positions 524 to 776 of the family's 1533-position model. The record is from RNAcentral.